RNAcentral lists this ribosomal RNA (557 nucleotides) under uncultured Hyphomicrobiales bacterium. RNAcentral describes it as "bacterial SSU rRNA". It matches the Rfam family "Bacterial small subunit ribosomal RNA", at positions 102 to 694 of the family's 1533-position model. The record is from RNAcentral. Lineage: Bacteria; Pseudomonadati; Pseudomonadota; Alphaproteobacteria; Hyphomicrobiales.
ACGGGUGAGUAACACGUGGGAACGUGCCCAAAGGUACGGAACAACUCCGGGAAACUGGAGCUAAUACCGUAUGUGCCCGAAAGGGGAAAGAUUUAUCGCCUUUGGAUCGGCCCGCGUCUGAUUAGCUAGUUGGUGGGGUAAUGGCCUACCAAGGCGACGAUCAGUAGCUGGUCUGAGAGGAUGGCCAGCCACACUGGGACUGAGACACGGCCCAGACUCCUACGGGAGGCAGCAGUGGGGAAUAUUGGACAAUGGGCGCAAGCCUGAUCCAGCCAUGCCGCGUGAGUGAUGAAGGCCUUAGGGUUGUAAAGCUCUUUCGCCAGGGACGAUAAUGACGGUACCUGGAUAAGAAGCCCCGGCUAACUUCGUGCCAGCAGCCGCGGUAAUACGAAGGGGGCUAGCGUUGUUCGGAAUUACUGGGCGUAAAGCGUAUGCAGGCGGACUUUUAAGUCGGGGGUGAAAUCCCGAGGCUCAACCUCGAAACUGCCUUCGAUACUGGAAGUCUUGAGUCCGGGAGAGGUGAGUGGAACUCCGAGUGUAGAGGUGAAAUUCGUAGA